Molecule: ribosomal RNA, 497 nt
Filed under: uncultured bacterium
Lineage: Bacteria
Description: partial 16S ribosomal RNA
Rfam family: Bacterial small subunit ribosomal RNA
Source: RNAcentral
GAUGAACGCUGGCGGCGUGCCUAAUACAUGCAAGUCGAGCGAACAGACGCGGCUCUUGCUCCUUUGGCGUUAGCAACUGACGGGUGAGUCACACGUAGGUAGCCUACCUCUAAGACUUGGAUCACUUCGAGAAACCGGAGCUACUACCGGGUAAUAUUUCUAACCGCAUGGUUCGAUAGUGAUAGAUGGCUUUGCUGACCCUUAUAGCUGGCCCUGCGCCGGAUGAGCUAGUUGGUACGGUAACGGCUUACCAAGGCCACGAUGGGUAGCCGACCUGAGAGGGUGUGCGCCGACACUGGAACUGGGACACGGUCCAGACUCCUACGGGAGGCAGCAGUAGGUAAUCUUCCGCAAUGGGCGAAAGCCUGACGGAGCAACGCCGCGCUAGUGAUGAAGGUCUUCGGAUCGUAAAACUCUGUUAUUAGGGAAGAACAAACGUGUAAGUAACUGUGCACGUCUUGACGGUACCUAGUUAGAAAGCCACGGCUAACUACGUG